This 1288-nucleotide long non-coding RNA is filed under the name Homo sapiens (human). RNAcentral's name for it is "HSALNT0022454". The record is from RNAcentral. Lineage: Eukaryota; Metazoa; Chordata; Mammalia; Primates; Hominidae.
GAGCUACUAGCCUUCUUGGAAUGCCUACUAUGUGCCAGACAUGAAAGCAGAUGCUUUUUUCAAAUACUUCUGUCGGAUGAACUUUCUUAUUAUUGUGGUACAGAUGAGGAGGCAAAAUCAUUUGUCUAAGACCCCACUGUUUCAGCUGCAAGCUUUCGUGGCUCCUCAGUUUGCAUUUUUUCCUCACUGCAGUAUCACUUUGUGAAGGAGGUCUGAAGUCUUCAAAUGAAAAUAGAGUUUUCUCCUUAUAUUUUACUUUCUCCAGCUGCAAAGCUGAAGGCAAAGCUGAAGAAUCCUGGACACUCUCCUUUGUUCAAAUAAAACUUCUAUUUACACAGGAUUUGCUAAAGGAGUACAAGGAAAUGGCAGAGAUAGCAUUAAGCUCACACAGCAGUUCCGGAAAGCGCCCCUUCAUUGUUCUCAGGCUCGUACCUGCAGUAACAGGGCCUAUAGGCUUUGAACACAAGACAACUGAGUUCGGAACCUCAGAAGAAUUCUGGAUAUGGUACAAAAAAAUUCAGGUUCAAAUUCCUGUUGUGCUCAAGUUUAGAUAUACGAUGAUCAUUGCUUUUUAAACCUGCUGGGGCUUAUUUUUUCAUCUGCGAUAUAAAGAUGAUUAUACUAAUUUCUUCAAAGGAUGACAUGAGCAGGAAAUGAGCUAAUGUAUGGAGACAGUUUCAUGAACUGUCCAGCACUCUACAUAUAUAAGAGGUAAUGACUGUUUUUCCUAGCCCAUGUACUUCAGGUCUCGGCUGUCCCUCUCCUGCCCUCAGGUCUGGCAAACCCCACCUAUCAACUAGCCAUGGCUGCUGUGCUGUUUCAGGGCCCUGCUUGAUGAUCCAAGCGGAUGUGGGGUCUUCCUAAAGACAAUGCAUUGUGAUUGUGACCAGAAGGAAACUUAAGUCCAAGUCCUCAGUGAAUUAUCUGGGACUCAGUGUCUUCAGCUGUAAAAUAAAGUUAUUGACUACAUUUUGAAAUUCCGUUAUAGAAAUGCCUGCCCCAUAAGCAGGCAUGAUUUAUAUUGGGGCACUGUAUCUGUCUCCCGUAUGAAGAAAAAAGCUUAUAGUUCAUUCUUUUUCUUCCCUGGGUUUUUGAGUCUAAGCCCUUAUUUUCCACAAGCUGGGAAACUGGAAGAAGGGAAACACCGCAAUAAAUCUGCUGAAUUAGCCACCACCCCUUUCUCCUCAUCCCCACCAGGCUUGGGAGCCUGAACCACCUACAGGCCUCCCCACCCUUCCUAAGGAGAACAGGAGCCACUUAUCAGCUCCAGCUUUGGAGCUUUGCAAGC